AGAAGAUGGAUUGGUUGGAGUGGAACUGGUAGGAAUACAGGAAAGCAUAACCGUAGUGAGCAUUGAGUGUGCGGCAGAAUAAAUAUUUCCCGCAGCAGAGGAUCUCGAUGAAAAUAUCGAUUUUUUCCCCAUUUCCUUGGUAUGUGGUUUGUGAACUUUACAAUUUGGAAGUAUAUACUAUUUAAAAUUUUAUGUAUCCAUUUAUGUACUAUCAAUUGCACUAAUUUCAUAUCUACAUAUGAAAGUUUGUACUUUUCCAAGGCUCCCCAACCCUCUUGUUCGUUGG
Molecule: long non-coding RNA, 286 nt
Filed under: Olea europaea (common olive)
Lineage: Eukaryota; Viridiplantae; Streptophyta; Magnoliopsida; Lamiales; Oleaceae
Description: long non-coding RNA (OEUR_LNC002389)
Source: RNAcentral